UGGGGAAUAUUGCACAAUGGGGGAAACCCUGAUGCAGCGACGCCGCGUGAGCGAAGAAGUAUUUCGGUAUGUAAAGCUCUAUCAGCAGGGAAGAUAAUGACGGUACCUGGCUAAGAAGCCCCGGCUAACUACGUGCCAGCAGCCGCGGUAAUACGUAGGGGGCAAGCGUUAUCCGGAUUUACUGGGUGUAAAGGGAGCGUAGACGGCAUAGCAAGUCUGAAGUGAAAGGCUGGGGCUCAACCCCGGGACUGCUUUGGAAACUGUUAGGCUGGAGUGCAGGAGAGGUAAGUGGAAUUCCUAGUGUAGCGGUGAAAUGCUUAGAUAUCAUGAAGAACUCCGAUCGCGAAGGCAAGUGCCCGGGGUGCAACUGACGCUGAGGCUCGAAAGGUGCGGGUAUCGAACAGGAUUAGAUACCC
RNAcentral lists this ribosomal RNA (416 nucleotides) under uncultured bacterium. RNAcentral describes it as "bacterial SSU rRNA". It matches the Rfam family "Bacterial small subunit ribosomal RNA", at positions 355 to 787 of the family's 1533-position model. The record is from RNAcentral.